CGGAGGGGACUAGCGUUGUUCGGAAUUACUGGGCGUAAAGCGCGCGUAGGCGGAUCAGACUAAGGUUAGGGUAGAACGUCCGGGCUACCAACCCGGAACUGCCCUUAAAACUAAGUUGUAGUCUUGAGUUCGAGAGAGGUGAGUGGAAUUCCGAGUGUAGAGGUGAAAUUCGUAGAUAUUCGGAGGAACACCAGUGGCGAAGGCGGCUCACUGGCUCGAUACUGACGCUGAGGUGCGAAAGUGUGGGGAGCAAACAGGAUU
RNAcentral lists this ribosomal RNA (261 nucleotides) under uncultured bacterium. RNAcentral's name for it is "partial 16S ribosomal RNA". It matches the Rfam family "Bacterial small subunit ribosomal RNA", at positions 526 to 779 of the family's 1533-position model. The record is from RNAcentral.